RNAcentral lists this transfer RNA (73 nucleotides) under Candidatus Methanoperedentaceae archaeon HGW-Methanoperedenaceae-1. RNAcentral's name for it is "Candidatus Methanoperedenaceae archaeon HGW-Methanoperedenaceae-1 tRNA-Phe". It matches the Rfam family "tRNA". From Rfam's summary of the family: Transfer RNA (tRNA) molecules are approximately 80 nucleotides in length. Their secondary structure includes four short double-helical elements and three loops (D, anti-codon, and T loops). Further hydrogen bonds mediate the characteristic L-shaped molecular structure. tRNAs have two regions of fundamental functional importance: the anti-codon, which is responsible for specific mRNA codon recognition, and the 3' end, to which the tRNAs corresponding amino acid is attached (by aminoacyl-tRNA synthetases). tRNAs cope with the degeneracy of the genetic code in two manners: having more than one tRNA (with a specific anti-codon) for a particular amino acid; and 'wobble' base-pairing, i.e. permitting non-standard base-pairing at the 3rd anti-codon position. The record is from RNAcentral. Lineage: Archaea; Methanobacteriati; Methanobacteriota; Methanomicrobia; Methanosarcinales; Candidatus Methanoperedentaceae. RNAcentral also lists the same sequence under 3 other names.
GCCCAGGUAGCUCAGUUGGGAGAGCGCUGCCCUGAAGAGGCAGAUGUCCCUGGUUCGAGUCCGGGUCUGGGCA